AAGGUUGGUGAAAGAGUCUGAGGCACAAGUCAUUUUCUCUUCCCUCCUUCCAUUCUGGGGUGAUGAUGUGGCAUGGAAUAGAAGGAUCCAGUCCAUAAAUGAUUGGCUAUGUGACUGGUACUACAGGCAGGGCUUUGGGUUCUUUGAUAAUGGCUGGUUUUAUAAGACAGCAGGCCUGACAUUGAGUAAUAGGUGGGAAAG
This is a long non-coding RNA of Cygnus olor (mute swan), 201 nucleotides long. RefSeq lists it as uncharacterized. NCBI's taxonomy places the organism in Eukaryota, Metazoa, Chordata, Aves, Anseriformes, Anatidae. The transcript has 3 exons. The record is from RefSeq and is a predicted model, not a curated record.